GCUAACUGGUUCCUAGGCCCGGCUUACUGUUUGGGGGCCAUUCUUAAUUUCUAGUUGAAUCCAGAUGUUGAACGGUCCUUGAAGUUCUAUUCCAGGGCUCCCAGGCAGCAGAAUCUGCCCACAGAGUUCGGAGUGAUAGAUUCGUGUGGCCUUUCAAAUGAUUGUGAAGUGGUGGAAAUGGAUCCAAAAUAUUAAGUGACUUCUCUACCAAAGCAUAGAAGAUUCUUCAUAUCUCCUUCCAGUGGCUCAAUUUAGAUUUUGGGAAGGAGCAGAACAAGUGAAACACAGAAAACUGAAGAGAAGAAAUCCUCAUUUUGGACCUAUAUUUCUCCUUGACUAUUUCUUAAUAUCCAUCCUACCCAUCUUUCUAAUGUUUUAAGUUUGCUCUGAAUUUAUAAAUAGUAAAGGCCAAAGACAUAGAAUAUACAUUUAGUAGCUUUAUACCAAGAAAUUUGCCUUGAAAGCUGCUGUUCGUGGAGGGAAAAGUAGCAAAUUCCUGUCUAUUUUUAUUUUUUAUUUUUUUUUUAACAAAGACAAGAUUUAUAUCCCUAGAUUUUG
RNAcentral lists this small RNA (558 nucleotides) under Pan troglodytes (chimpanzee). RNAcentral's name for it is "processed transcript". Lineage: Eukaryota; Metazoa; Chordata; Mammalia; Primates; Hominidae. The record is from RNAcentral.